This 275-nucleotide ribosomal RNA is filed under the name uncultured bacterium. RNAcentral's name for it is "partial 16S ribosomal RNA". It matches the Rfam family "Bacterial small subunit ribosomal RNA", at positions 28 to 305 of the family's 1533-position model. The record is from RNAcentral.
GAUUAACGCUGGCGGCGUGCAUAAAACAUGCAAGUCGAGCGCGGUGCGACUUCGGUCGCAUCUAGCGGCGCACGGGUGAGUAACACGUGAGCAACCUACCUUGGAGUCCGGGAUAGCCCUGAGAAAUCAGGAUUAAUACCGGAUGAUGUCAUCACCAGGCAUCUGGAGAUGAGAAAAGGCGCAAGCCGUUCCAAGACGGGCUCGCGGCCUAUUAGCUAGUUGGUGGGUAACGGCCUACCAAGGCGGAGAUGGGUAGCUGGUCUGAGAGGACGAUC